RNAcentral lists this ribosomal RNA (538 nucleotides) under uncultured bacterium. Its description in RNAcentral is "bacterial SSU rRNA". It matches the Rfam family "Bacterial small subunit ribosomal RNA", at positions 777 to 1314 of the family's 1533-position model. The record is from RNAcentral.
AAUAGAUACCCCGGUAGUCCACGCCGUAAACGAUGAGUGCUAGGUGUUAGGGGGUUUCCGCCCCUUAGUGCUGCAGCUAACGCAUUAAGCACUCCGCCUGGGGAGUACGGUCGCAAGACUGAAACUCAAAGGAAUUGACGGGGGCCCGCACAAGCGGUGGAGCAUGUGGUUUAAUUCGAAGCAACGCGAAGAACCUUACCAGGUCUUGACAUCCCGCUGACCGCCAUGGAGACAUGGCCUUCCCUUCGGGGACAGCGGUGACAGGUGGUGCAUGGUUGUCGUCAGCUCGUGUCGUGAGAUGUUGGGUUAAGUCCCGCAACGAGCGCAACCCUUGUCCUUAGUUGCCAUCAUUCAGUUGGGCACUCUAAGGAGACUGCCGUACAAAUACGGAGGAAGGUGGGGAUGACGUCAAAUCAUCAUGCCCCUUAUGACCUGGGCUACACACGUGCUACAAUGGGUGGUACAAAGGGCGGCAAACCCGCGAGGGGGAGCGAAUCCCAAAAAGCCACUCUCAGUUCGGAUUGCAGGCUGCAACUCG